Molecule: transfer RNA, 68 nt
Filed under: Raeta pulchella
Lineage: Eukaryota; Metazoa; Mollusca; Bivalvia; Venerida; Anatinellidae
Description: tRNA-Ser
Source: RNAcentral
GGCUUUACUUCGUGGGAAGAAGGCUGCUUUGAAAGCAGCCUCGGGGCGUUCAACUCGUCCUAGGGCUU